Molecule: unclassified non-coding RNA, 392 nt
Filed under: soil metagenome
Description: partial contains 5.8S ribosomal RNA, internal transcribed spacer 2, and large subunit ribosomal RNA
Rfam family: 5.8S ribosomal RNA (bases 2-123)
Source: RNAcentral
GGAUGAAGAACGCAGCGAAAUGCGAUACUUGGUGUGAAUUGCAGAAUCCCGUGAACCAUCGAGUCUUUGAACGCAAGUUGCGCCCGAAGCCAUUAGGCCGAGGGCACGCCUGCCUGGGCGUCACACGUCGUUGCCCCCCCAUCUACUCCUUCGGGAUUGCGGGGGGCGGAUGAUGGCCUCUCGUGCGCCUCGUCGCGCGGUUGGCCUAAAUGCCAAGUCCUCGGCGACGCACGCCACGACAAUCGGUGGUUGCGAAACCUCGGUUGCCUGUCGUGUGCGGUCGUCGCGCAUCGAGGGCUCGAAAAAAUUGCCGGGCUUCGGCUCGACUUUCAACGCGACCCCAGGUCAGGCGGGGUUACCCGCUGAAUUUAAGCAUAUCAAUAAGCGGAGGA